Molecule: small nuclear RNA, 301 nt
Filed under: Chinchilla lanigera (long-tailed chinchilla)
Lineage: Eukaryota; Metazoa; Chordata; Mammalia; Rodentia; Chinchillidae
Description: 7SK RNA (ENSCLAG00000021842.1)
Rfam family: 7SK RNA
About the family: 7SK was discovered as an abundant small nuclear RNA in the mid-70s but a possible function has only recently been suggested. Two independent studies have found that 7SK RNA binds the CDK9/cyclin T complex (known as elongation factor P-TEFb).
Source: Rfam by way of RNAcentral
UGAUGUGAGGGUGAUCUGGCUGCGACAUCUGUCACCCCUUUAAUUGCCAGGGUUGAUUUGGCUGAUCCAGGUGGCUAGGCGGGUGUGUACCCUUCCUCUCUCAACACUCCAUGUGCAUCCCUCCUGAAGCUGCGUUCUCUGUUGAAGAGGAUGACAAUUCCCAGUAGAGUUGGACCAUCAGGGAUGUACAAGUAGCUUUGCUCCCCUGUCACAACCUCCAAACAAGCUCUCAAAAUUAUGCUAAGCCACUGGGAAAGAUAUUAGUACAAGCUCUUCAAAUAGGCCCCAUCUAGUUCUCAUU